Pelobates cultripes (western spadefoot toad) is the source of this 264-nucleotide non-coding RNA. The record is from the annotation of a GenBank genome assembly. NCBI's taxonomy places the organism in Eukaryota, Metazoa, Chordata, Amphibia, Anura, Pelobatidae.
AGUGCUUCUCUGUAAGAUGCAUUGAAUUCCAGUGCUUCAUAUAGAGAAGCAUUGAAUGCUCAGGGACUUACAUUACGUGCUGAUGCCAGAGUCAAAUAGAAUCAAUGGCUGAAUCUAACUGUGUCCAAAGUCCUUAGUAGUUGUCUGUCUGAAAGCGGCAUCUCUCAGAAACAAGUGUGAGUGUUCAACUCUAUGGAAUCCUGCUCAUAGGAAUUGUAUCAUUUUAUUACAACCAGGGCACCAUAUAAUGCAUUUAUACUCCAG